UGAGGAAUAUUGGUCAAUGGGCGUAAGCCUGAACCAGCCAAGUCGCGUGAAGGAUGACUGCCCUAUGGGUUGUAAACUUCUUUUGUAAGGGGAGAAUAAAUUCUACGUGUAGGAUGAUGACAGUACCUUACGAAUAAGCAUCGGCUAACUCCGUGCCAGCAGCCGCGGUAAUACGUAGGGGGCAAGCGUUGUCCGGAAUGAUUGGGCGUAAAGGGCGCGUAGGCGGCCUGGUAAGUUUGGAGUGAAAGUCCUAUUUUUAAGGUGGGAAUUGCUUUGAAAACUGCUGGGCUUGAGUGCAGGAGAGGUUAGUGGAAUUCCCGGUGUAGCGGUGAAAUGCGUAGAGAUCGGGAGGAACACCAGUGGCGAAGGCGACUAACUGGACUGUAACUGACGCUGAGGCGCGAAAGUGUGGGGAGCAAACA
RNAcentral lists this ribosomal RNA (422 nucleotides) under uncultured bacterium. RNAcentral describes it as "bacterial SSU rRNA". It matches the Rfam family "Bacterial small subunit ribosomal RNA", at positions 355 to 774 of the family's 1533-position model. The record is from RNAcentral.